RNAcentral lists this small RNA (27 nucleotides) under Bombyx mori (domestic silkworm). Its description in RNAcentral is "ovarian small RNA-36376". The record is from RNAcentral. Lineage: Eukaryota; Metazoa; Arthropoda; Insecta; Lepidoptera; Bombycidae.
UUAAGUCUAGCCAAACUGAAAAGGCUG